Molecule: long non-coding RNA, 355 nt
Organism: Glycine soja
Lineage: Eukaryota; Viridiplantae; Streptophyta; Magnoliopsida; Fabales; Fabaceae
Exons: 3
Source: RefSeq, a predicted model, not a curated record
UGGUAGGACUGAUACCAAUCCUGAAGGACUCAUUGCUGCAUAUGGCAAGUGGGCUUCUAUUGUAGCUGCUAGAUUAAAUGUUGGAGGCCUCUCUUGCAAGGUUCUUGACAAGGAGGUGUUUCAAAAGCAGAUGUUGGAGAAACUUAUAUGGAUUUGUUCCGUUAUGCUUGUUGGAGCACCUCAUGGAGGGGUUUUAGUAGGUGUCGCGGACAAGGAAUUCCGCACUGAAUUGUCCAGCCUUAUAACAGAACUGGCAUCAGCAGCAUCAAGUGAAAAGGGGUUAACAUUUGAAGAAGCCAUGGAAGAGCGCUUAUGUGCAUAUUCCUGAGCCAUAGCCCACUUUCCCACAGCAGUU